This is a long non-coding RNA of Xyrauchen texanus (razorback sucker), 614 nucleotides long. RefSeq lists it as uncharacterized. Lineage: Eukaryota; Metazoa; Chordata; Actinopteri; Cypriniformes; Catostomidae. The transcript has 3 exons. The record is from RefSeq and is a predicted model, not a curated record.
AUGAAAUGAGAACCACGCCUUUUGAGUUGUCAAAAAAAAGAAAAGAAAAAAGCUCCUGGAUUCUGUGCUUGGCACAUGCAGUGCACCUGAGAAGAGUGAAGACUGAAGAGGGCCUUCUCUGGGAGGUCAGUUUUUGACUGCCCGCAUGCAUAAAGUGCCCUGAACUGAUGCCCCCUUACAUUGCUUUUGUAGCAGUAAGAUUACAUUAAUUCUAGGGAUGGCAUGCCACUGGACCCCCAUAGGAGGUUCACAUAUUUGUCACCUUUUUCACACCUGAUGAGUUUGCAACCCUGUCCCACACUAAUAUGUUUUCAUUUGAAAAAGCAAAGAAAUAUUUACGAUUCUCAUCUACAAUAAAACAGCAUUUUCCUCCUCCGAAUGCUCUUCAAAUCCACAUACUUUGGAAAAUUAUGAGUUUUCAAACUAAAAUGGAUUUGAGUAGACUAAAGCUGUAUAAAGGUCCUACAUCAUGUGGCCUAAAGUGGGGCAGCUGUGGCUCAGGUGAUAGAGUGGGUUUGCUACUAAUCGCAGGGUUGGCAUUCGCAGUUUGAUUCCUGGCCCACAUGGCUCCACAUGCCAAAGUGUCCUUGGGCAAGACACUGAACCCCAAGUUG